UGUUUCCUACGGGACGCAGCAGUGAGGAAUAUUGGUCAAUGGGCGGGAGCCUGAACCAGCCAAGCCGCGUGAGGGAAGAAGGUACAGCGUAUCGUAAACCUCUUUUGUCAGGGAACAAAGGCGGGGACUAGUCCCCGGAUGAGGGUACCUGAAGAAAAAGCAUCGGCUAACUCCGUGCCAGCAGCCGCGGUAAUACGGAGGAUGCGAGCGUUAUCCGGAUUUAUUGGGUUUAAAGGGUGCGUAGGCGGAACAUUAAGUCAGCGGUAAAAUCGAGGGGCUCAACCCCUUUAAGCCGUUGAAACUGG
This 305-nucleotide ribosomal RNA is filed under the name uncultured bacterium. RNAcentral's name for it is "bacterial SSU rRNA". It matches the Rfam family "Bacterial small subunit ribosomal RNA", at positions 333 to 636 of the family's 1533-position model. The record is from RNAcentral.